Carcharodon carcharias (great white shark) is the source of this 329-nucleotide long non-coding RNA. RefSeq lists it as uncharacterized. The record is from RefSeq and is a predicted model, not a curated record. The transcript is spliced from 4 exons. Lineage: Eukaryota; Metazoa; Chordata; Chondrichthyes; Lamniformes; Lamnidae.
CUGGGGCCUACCCCCCCCCGGCUCAUUCCUUUCUGGUGCAAAAAUACAACAGGAAAAGUGGCCUAACUGUGGCUAACGGAAGAAGGAUGCGAUGUUUGUUGCCACCCUGAUUAAUGUUUGCAUUGCCACUUUUGGCCCAGCAAGCAACAACCUUUUGAGAAUUCAAACCCACACAUGAGGACUACGCCCAGGCUGGAACAGGACUCACUGCCAGGAAGACCAGAUUUGGUACCUGGAGGGAGAUGCAUAAGGACAAUGACUCGAUUGCCACAUGAACUGGAAUAAAUCCGGAAUAAUUCACUCAGCUGCAUUGCGAUGUGGGAGUGAAG